UUCUUACAACCGAUGCCUCGG
This 21-nucleotide unclassified non-coding RNA is filed under the name Dictyostelium discoideum. The record is from RNAcentral. Lineage: Eukaryota; Evosea; Eumycetozoa; Dictyosteliales; Dictyosteliaceae.